GAUUCUAAGUCGCUGAAUUUCUUUUUUGGAAAGCGGGGGAACCACACAUGCCUUCUUAUCAAGGCAAGGGGUGAGGCCUUUUAGUUUUUAAGGCGGGGCUACUCUUCAUGCCCUAAUCCGACAGCUAACCCCGUAAGCGUUAAGGAGAGAGAAU
Molecule: small RNA, 154 nt
Filed under: Jeotgalibacillus campisalis
Lineage: Bacteria; Bacillati; Bacillota; Bacilli; Caryophanales; Caryophanaceae
Description: c-di-AMP sequence
Rfam family: c-di-AMP riboswitch aptamer (ydaO/yuaA leader)
About the family: This family represents a conserved RNA structure found upstream of the ydaO and yuaA genes in Bacillus subtilis and related genes in other bacteria. The ydaO/yuaA element is thought to act as a genetic "off" switch for the ydaO and yuaA genes in its native state. It is believed that the element may be triggered during osmotic shock leading to activation of ydaO, a predicted amino acid transporter gene, and members of the yuaA-yubG operon which code for KtrA and KtrB K+ transporters.
Source: Rfam by way of RNAcentral